UUGAACGCUGGCGGCAGGCCUCACACAUGCACGUCGAACGGUAACAGGAAGCAGCUUGCUGCUUUGCUGACGAGUGGCGGACGGGUGAGUAAUGUCUGGGAAACUGCCUGAUGGAGGGGGAUAACUACUGGAAACGGUAGCUAAUACCGCAUAACGUCGCAAGACCAAAGAGGGGGACCUUCGGGCCUCUUGCCAUCGGAUGUGCCCAGAUGGGAUUAGCUAGUAGGUGGGGUAACGGCUCACCUAGGCGACGAUCCCUAGCUGGUCUGAGAGGAUGACCAGCCACACUGGAACUGAGACACGGUCCAGACUCCUACGGGAGGCAGCAGUGGGGAAUAUUGCACAAUGGGCGCAAGCCUGAUGCAGCCAUGCCGCGUGUAUGAAGAAGGCCUUCUGGUUGUAAAGUACUUUCAGCGGGGAGGAAGGGAGUAAAGUUAAUACCUUUGCUCAUUGACGUUACCCGCAGAAGAAGCACCGGCUAACUCCGUG
This 489-nucleotide ribosomal RNA is filed under the name uncultured bacterium. RNAcentral describes it as "partial 16S ribosomal RNA". It matches the Rfam family "Bacterial small subunit ribosomal RNA", at positions 30 to 507 of the family's 1533-position model. The record is from RNAcentral.